Helianthus annuus (common sunflower) is the source of this 820-nucleotide long non-coding RNA. RefSeq lists it as uncharacterized. The record is from RefSeq and is a predicted model, not a curated record. NCBI's taxonomy places the organism in Eukaryota, Viridiplantae, Streptophyta, Magnoliopsida, Asterales, Asteraceae. The transcript has 5 exons.
AACAUUCAUGAAAGUACACGACAAAACUGGCUUGGUUUUAUAGGUGAUUACAGUGACGAUGUAUCAUAUCAAUUUUGUAGGUGAUUGUAGGGACAAUGUACUAAUUUGCAUAAUUCGCAUUUGUAUGUGAUUGUAGGGUGAAUUUCAUGGGCGUAUUCAGUUUUACAGGUGGGGCUACCCUCUUGAUUACGAGCACUCAUGGUAGGGUGAAUAUCUGUAGAGGGUCUUCUGAUGUCAACUGACUCGCAUGGAAUACAGGUGAACUAACAUGUGGGCAUUCAAAAAGAUGGUGGUUGUGACUGUAGAGCCUCAGGAACAUGUAAUUGCCGAUCCGCAUGAAGAUACUGUACAAACAACUAUCAAUGGCUGUCAGAGAGAGGUGGACAUGUUUUCUACAGUAAACAGUUUAUAUGCCCAACUUGAGUUCCCAUAUCAUCUUUGUCAUCAAUUAAGUUAAAGAGGUAGCACACUACUUGAUUUUCUAUGACAUAAGAGGUGUAAAGACCAUGAAGAAGGGCGAAGUUUCAUUGCUAAGCAUUCAUACAAAAUAUGGAUUCGGUCUUUGACUAAAUCAAUUCAAGACUCUGCUACUGUUUCUGCAAAUUGUACCAUGUAUUAUGAUGUCGAGUUGGUCUUAUUUAAAGUGAUUAUGCUUGUAGGUAGAUUUUGUACACAGGUCGAAACAAUUUUUUUGGCAAGUUUUAAGAGUUGUAAUGAAUUAUGUCUGCAUGGUUGAGAUGUUGGCUCGGAAAAUGAUGUUUGGUCUCUAAUAGUUUAUAUAAUUUUAUGCGUAUGUUAUCUUAAAUCAAGGAUUCGAAGC